Molecule: ribosomal RNA, 385 nt
Filed under: Choanoflagellata sp.
Lineage: Eukaryota; Choanoflagellata
Description: partial small subunit ribosomal RNA
Rfam family: Eukaryotic small subunit ribosomal RNA
Source: RNAcentral
AUUCCAGCUCCAAUAGCGUAUAUUAAAGUUGUUGCAGUUAAAAAGCUCGUAGUUGGACUUCUGGGCCGUUUUGUUGGUCUGCCGCAAGGCUGCACUAGCGGGAUGGCCCAUCCUCUCGAAGGCUGGGGGUGCUCUUAACUGGGUGCUUUCAGAACUCGGGAUCUUUACUUUGAAAAAAUUAGAGUGUUCAAAGCAGGCUUACGCUUGAAUACAUUAGCAUGGAAUAAUGGAAUAGGACUUUGGUUCUAUUUUGUUGGUUUCUAGAACUGAAGUAAUGACUAAUAGGGAUAGUUGGGGGCAUUAGUAUUUAAUUGUCAGAGGUGAAAUUCUUGGAUCUAUGAAAGACUAACUUCUGCGAAAGCAUUUGCCAAGGAUGUUUUCAUUA